This is an RNA transcript of Pistacia vera, 2773 nucleotides long. It is a transcript of the gene named probable LRR receptor-like serine/threonine-protein kinase At1g14390, with no coding region annotated. The transcript has 9 exons. Lineage: Eukaryota; Viridiplantae; Streptophyta; Magnoliopsida; Sapindales; Anacardiaceae. The record is from RefSeq and is a predicted model, not a curated record.
AUGGAGAAAUUCAAGGCUGUUUCACCAUGUAUCUUAAUUUGUAUAGUCGUUUUUGGUCUGCUGGUUCCAGUGUCAAUAGAACAAGCACUGAGUUCAGGUGAAACCAGAAGUCUCUUCCAAGUCCAGAAGCUUCUUGAGUAUCCUCAAGUUCUUCAGGGAUGGACUAAUUGGACCAACUUCUGUUAUCUUCCUUAUUCUCCUUCUCUCAAGAUUGUCUGCUACAAUAACCGAGUAACAGAGUUAACCAUCGUUGGAAACAAAAGCUCUCCUUCCCAUUUCUCAAAACUAACUUCCGGGAAAUUUUCACCUUCUCAACAAAGCCUGUCUUCUAACUUCAACAUUGAUGCCUUCUUUACUUCUCUAACAAAGCUUACAAAUUUGAAACUACUCUCACUCGUGUCCUUAGGUUUAUGGGGUCCGUUACCUUCCAAGAUCAAUAGAUUUUGGUCACUUGAAGUGUUGAACAUCAGCUCAAAUUUCAUUUAUGGAGAGAUUCCUCAAGAGAUCACAUCAUUGAAAAGUCUGAGAAGUCUUGUUUUGGCUGAUAAUUUGAUGAAUGGGAGUGUUCCAGAUCUCAAGAAAUUACAAUCUCUUCGAGAAUUGAAUCUGGGUGGUAACCACAUUGGUCCUAAAUUUCCCUCAAUCACCAUCAAUCUCGAAAGUAUCAUACUGGGAAAUAAUUCUUUGAGAUCUGACAUUCCUUUAGGACUCAAGAACUUUAAUCAGUUAAAACACUUGGACAUUUCUGCCAAUAAGUUUGUUGGACCAGUCCCAUCUUUCCUUUUCUCUCUUUCUUCAAUUGAACAUCUCAUUUUGCCUAAAAACCAAUUGAGUGGAGCUCUUCCGCUGAACAUAUCGUGUAGUGCUAAGCUUAGCUUUGUAGAUAUUUCUGGCAACCUUUUGAUAGGAAAGCUCCCUUCAUGUAUUGCAUCAAAGUCUUCGAACAGAAAUUUAACUGUCAUAAGUUCAUGGAAUUGUUUGUCUGCUGGGAACACAAAACUUCAGCAUCCAUAUUCAUUUUGCCAUAAAGAAGCAGUGGCAGUGAAGCCUCCACUUAAGAGAGAGAAGCAGGAAUCCAGCAUCAAACUAGGACUAAUUCUGGGUAUCCUUGGAGGCAUAGUGGGAAUUGUAGUGGUUUUCGGCUUGUUGGUUUUGGUCAUUAUCAGAAGAUCAUCAGAAACAACAGGAGCUCAAGAUAGCAAAUAUGAGAGAUCCAAUGCAGAUAAAAUGUCUGUUCGUAGCUCACCAAAACCAGCUAUUGGUUCAAGGAAAGUGCCUCAGACAAUGAGGUCAGCAGCAAUAGGGCUUCCACCAUAUCGAGUUUUCAGCUUAGAGGAAAUAGAAGAUGCAACAAACAAUUUUGACCCAACAAAUUUGAUGGGUGAAGGAUCCCAGGAACAGCUGUACAAAGGUUGUCUUAGAGAUGGAUCAAUAGUGUUGGUGAAAUGCCUGAAACUAAAGCAGAGGCAUCUACCGCAGAGCUUGGUGCAACAUAUGGAAGUGUUGUCAAAGUUAAGACAUCGGCAUUUAGUGAGUGUUCUUGGACAUUGCAUUGUUACUUAUCAGGAUCAUCCCAAUACAGCCAGCACUGUGUUUAUUGUCCUUGAGCACAUAUCAAAUGGAUCAUUACAUGAUUACCUAACUGACUUGAGGAAGAAGGAGAUGCUGAAAUGGCCACAAAGAAUGGCAAUUAUUAUUGGUGCUGCAAGGGGAAUUCAGUUUUUGCAUACUGGAGUUGCACCUGGCAUUUUUGGGAACAAUGUGAAGAUUGACAACAUCUUGUUGGAUGAGACUCUUACUGCAAAACUAAGUGGUUAUAACAUUCCAAUGCCAUCGAAUAAGAGAGGUUCAGAGAGCCCUCUCAAUGGCCAAGACGUCUCCAAUCAUCUGGGAAGCAUGGAAGAUGCCGAAAAGGAAGAUGUUUAUCAGUUUGGUGUUAUCCUUGCUCAAGUUAUUACUGGAAAGCCGAUCAAAUCCACUCGUGAAUUGGGGGAGUUGAAGCUUGAGCUAGAGAAAUGCUUAGCAGAAUCUCCAUCAAAGUUACGGGGGGCAGCCGACCCCUCAGUCCGGGGCACUUAUGCAUAUGACUCAUUAAGAACGACAGUUGAAAUCACCACCAAUUGUCUAUGCAAGGAUGCCGCCGGUCGCCCAUCAAUAGAAGAUGUUCUAUGGAAUUUGCAGUAUUCAAUUCAAGUACAGGAAGGAUGGACCAGCAGCGGAAAUCUUAAUACUCAUUUCUAGUUUCUUCAUUACAUUUCCUACAGUAAUCGUGCGAGCGCAAUUGGCUGCCUGUGGUGCACCAAUAGUGGGUGACUCAAUGUACAUGCCAGCUGCCAUUGCAGAGAUCUCUACUCCGGGGCUUAAUCCCUUUGGCAAAUGUGCAAAACAAUACCCAACUGAGAUGGAGUGGAUUUCUUGGUACGGAAAGGAGCCUAGUGUUGCCAUUGCUCUUCAAGCAUGUCAAAUUUCAUGGCUCUCCCUGGUGGAGAUGUAAGAAAGUUUAGUUCAGGCAUAACUUGUCAAAGGCAGGAUUUGAACUGAACACAGAUUUUACAUUGGAGCAAAUUCAAUGUUGUGAAGAGAAUAUAAAACACAAUGGUGGUUACAUUAAAUAGCACAAAAAAUAAAAUAAAAAUUCUUUUCCUUUUUUCUUUGGGGACAAAAGGAAAACUCAAAUUUUGAUAAACAAAACGGCAAUGAAAGCAUGCCCUUGCUACUGACCUCCUCUCUCUUUGGGCAGUGUCGUCUAUCUUGAUAUUAGUUUUUCACUUUA